AAAUGGAAACCGGCGAACGGGUGAGUAACGCGUACACGACUUACCUCCGAAGUACGGAAUAGCCCUGGGAAACUGGGAGUAAUACCGUAUGUGAUUGAUUGUGUUAGAGGUAAUCAAUUAAAGAUAUACUUGCUUGGAGAUGGGUGUGCGUCCUAUUAGGUAGUUGGUGAGGUAACGGCUCACCAAGCCGACGAUAGGUAGGGGGCGUGAGAGCGUGACCCCCCACACGGGUACUGAGACACGGACCCG
This 249-nucleotide ribosomal RNA is filed under the name uncultured bacterium. RNAcentral's name for it is "partial 16S ribosomal RNA". It matches the Rfam family "Bacterial small subunit ribosomal RNA", at positions 86 to 334 of the family's 1533-position model. The record is from RNAcentral.